GAAAUGCGAUAAGUAGUGUGAAUUGCAGAAUUCAGUGAAUCAUCGAAUCUUUGAACGCACAUUGCGCCCCUUGGUAUUCCAUGGGGCAUGCCUGUUCGAGCAUCAUUUGUACCUUCAAGCUUUGCUUGGUGUUGGGUGUUUGUCUCGCCUCUGCGUGUAGACUCGCCUCAAAACAAUUGGCAGCCGGCGUAUUGAUUUCGGAGCGCAGUACAUCUCGCGCUUUGCACUCAUAACGACGACGUCCAAAAGUACAUUUUUACACUCUUGACCUCGGAUCAGGUAGGGAUACCCGCUGAACUUAAGC
This 304-nucleotide unclassified non-coding RNA is filed under the name plant metagenome. Its description in RNAcentral is "partial contains 5.8S ribosomal RNA, internal transcribed spacer 2, and large subunit ribosomal RNA". The stretch from base 1 to 105 matches the Rfam family "5.8S ribosomal RNA", at positions 50 to 154 of the family's 154-position model. The record is from RNAcentral.